This 505-nucleotide ribosomal RNA is filed under the name uncultured Actinomycetes bacterium. RNAcentral's name for it is "bacterial SSU rRNA". It matches the Rfam family "Bacterial small subunit ribosomal RNA", at positions 355 to 874 of the family's 1533-position model. The record is from RNAcentral. Lineage: Bacteria; Bacillati; Actinomycetota; Actinomycetes.
UGGGGAAUCUUGCCCAAUGGGCGCAAGCCUGAGGCAGCAACGCCGCGUGCGGGAAGAAGGCCCUCGGGUUGUAAACCGCUUUCAGCAGGAACGAAAAUGACGGUACCUGCAGAAGAAGGUGCGGCCAACUACGUGCCAGCAGCCGCGGUGACACGUAGGCACCAAGCGUUGUCCGGAUUUAUUGGGCGUAAAGAGCUCGUAGGCGGUUCGGUAAGUCGGGUGUGAAAACCUUGGGCUCAACCCAAGGACUGCACUCGAUACUGCUGUGACUCGAGUCCGGUAGGGGAGUGGGGAAUUCCUGGUGUAGCGGUGGAAUGCGCAGAUAUCAGGAGGAACACCGGUGGCGAAGGCGCCACUCUGGGCCGGUACUGACGCUGAGGAGCGAAAGCGUGGGGAGCGAACAGGAUUAGAUACCCUGGUAGUCCACGCCGUAAACGUUGGGCACUAGGUGUGGGCUCUUACCAACGGAGUCCGUGCCGUAGCUAACGCAUUAAGUGCCCCGCCU